CAGUCGCCACGGUAAUACGAGGGGGGCAAGCGUUGUUCGGAUUUAUUGGGCGUAAAGGGUGCGUAGGCGGUUAUAUAAGACAGAUGUGAAAUCCCCGGGCUCAACCUGGGACCUGCAUUUGAGACUGUAUGGCUAGAGUGUGUCAGAGGGGGAUAGAAUUCCACGUGCAGCAGAGAAAUGCGUAGAUAUGUGGAGGAAUACCGAUGGUGAAGGCAGCCCCCUGGGAUAACACUGACGCUCAUGCACGAAAGCGUGGGGAGCAAACAGGAUUAGAUACCCGCGUAGUCCCUGUCUCUUAUAC
RNAcentral lists this ribosomal RNA (301 nucleotides) under uncultured bacterium. Its description in RNAcentral is "partial 16S ribosomal RNA". It matches the Rfam family "Bacterial small subunit ribosomal RNA", at positions 509 to 807 of the family's 1533-position model. The record is from RNAcentral.